AUUGAACGCUGGCGGCAGGCCUAACACAUGCAAGUCGGACGGUAGCACAGAGGAGCUUGCUCCUCGGGUGACGAGUGGCGGACGGGUGAGUGAUGUCUGGGGAUCUGCCCGAUAGAGGGGGAUAACUACUGGAAACGGUAGCUAAUACCGCAUAACGUCGCAAGACCAAAGUGGGGGACCUUCGGGCCUCACACCAGCGGAUGUGCCCAGAUGGGAUUAGCUAGUAGGUGGGGUAAUGGCUCACCUAGGCGACGAUCCCUAGCUGGUCUGAGAGGAGGACCAGCCACACUGGAACUGAGACACGGUCCAGACUCCUACGGGAGGCAGCAGUGGGGAAUAUUGCACAAUGGGGGAAACCCUGAUGCAGCCAUGCCGCGUGUGUGAAGAAGGCCUUCGGGUUGUAAAGCACUUUCAGCGAGGAGGAAAGGUUGAUGCCUAAUACGUAUCAACUGUGACGUUACUCGCAGAAGAAGCACCGGCUAACUCCGUGCCAGCCGCCGCAGUAA
RNAcentral lists this ribosomal RNA (506 nucleotides) under uncultured bacterium. RNAcentral describes it as "partial 16S ribosomal RNA". It matches the Rfam family "Bacterial small subunit ribosomal RNA", at positions 30 to 523 of the family's 1533-position model. The record is from RNAcentral.